Molecule: ribosomal RNA, 460 nt
Filed under: uncultured bacterium
Lineage: Bacteria
Description: bacterial SSU rRNA
Rfam family: Bacterial small subunit ribosomal RNA
Source: RNAcentral
GACGAACGCUGGCGGCGCGCUUAACACAUGCAAGUCGAACGGGGAUACGCCUUCGGGUGUAUUCUAGUGGCGGACGGGUGAGUAACACGUGAGGAACCUGCCUUUGGGAGCGGGAUACCGUCUGGAAACGGACGUUAAUACCGCAUAACGCAGCGAGGCCACAUGACCUUGCUGCCAAAGAUUUAUCGCUCAAAGAUGGCCUCGCGCCUGAUUAGAUAGUUGGCGGGGUAAUGGCCCACCAAGUCUGCGAUCAGUAGCCGGACUGAGAGGUCGAACGGCCACAUUGGGACUGAGAUGCGGCCCAGACUCCUACGGGAGGCAGCAGUGGGGGAUAUUGCACAAUGGGCGAAAGCCUGAUGCAGCGACGCCGCGUGAGGGAAGACGGUUUUCGGAUUGUAAACCUACUGUCUUCGGGACGAACAAGACGGUACCCGAGGAGGAAGCCACGGCUAACUACGUG